AAUAGAUACCCCGGGUAGUCCACGCCGUAAACGAUGAGUGCUAAGUGUUAGAGGGUUUCCGCCCUUUAGUGCUGCAGCUAACGCAUUAAGCACUCCGCCUGGGGAGUACGGUCGCAAGACUGAAACUCAAAGGAAUUGACGGGGGCCCGCACAAGCGGUGGAGCAUGUGGUUUAAUUCGAAGCAACGCGAAGAACCUUACCAGGUCUUGACAUCCCACUGACCGGUAUAGAGAUAUACCUUUCCCUUCGGGGACAGUGGUGACAGGUGGUGCAUGGUUGUCGUCAGCUCGUGUCGUGAGAUGUUGGGUUAAGUCCCGCAACGAGCGCAACCCUUGAUCUUAGUUGCCAGCAUUUAGUUGGGCACUCUAAGGUGACUGCCGGUGACAAACCGGAGGAAGGUGGGGAUGACGUCAAAUCAUCAUGCCCCUUAUGACCUGGGCUACACACGUGCUACAAUGGAUGGUACAAAGGGCUGCAAGACUGCGAAGUCAAGCCAAUCCCAUAAAACCAUUCUCAGUUCGGAUUGCAGG
This 530-nucleotide ribosomal RNA is filed under the name uncultured bacterium. RNAcentral's name for it is "bacterial SSU rRNA". It matches the Rfam family "Bacterial small subunit ribosomal RNA", at positions 777 to 1304 of the family's 1533-position model. The record is from RNAcentral.